GGGGAAUAUUGGACAAUGGGCGAAAGCCUGAUCCAGCCAUGCCGCGUGAGUGAUGAAGGCCCUAGGGUUGUAAAGCUCUUUCAGUGGGGAAGAUAAUGACGGUACCCACAGAAGAAGCCCCGGCUAACUUCGUGCCAGCAGCCGCGGUAAUACGAAGGGGGCUAGCGUUGUUCGGAAUUACUGGGCGUAAAGCGCACGUAGGCGGAUCGGUCAGUUAGGGGUGAAAUCCCGGGGCUCAACCCCGGAACUGCCUUUAAUACUGCUGAUCUAGAGUUCGAGAGAGGUGAGUGGAAUUCCGAGUGUAGAGGUGAAAUUCGUAGAUAUUCGGAGGAACACCAGUGGCGAAGGCGGCUCACUGGCUCGAGACUGACGCUGAGGUGCGAAAGCGUGGGGAGCAAAC
RNAcentral lists this ribosomal RNA (400 nucleotides) under uncultured bacterium. RNAcentral describes it as "bacterial SSU rRNA". It matches the Rfam family "Bacterial small subunit ribosomal RNA", at positions 356 to 773 of the family's 1533-position model. The record is from RNAcentral.